Molecule: long non-coding RNA, 2748 nt
Organism: Coccinella septempunctata (seven-spotted ladybird)
Lineage: Eukaryota; Metazoa; Arthropoda; Insecta; Coleoptera; Coccinellidae
Exons: 3
Source: RefSeq, a predicted model, not a curated record
CUUUUGGAUUUUUUUCUUAUUCAUCAUCGAGUCAGAUUGUGGUUCUUGUAUGUCCAGCUUGGUAAAAUGUGGAUGACACACGUAAUAUCUAUUGUAAAUCUGUUCAUCGGAUAAUUCUUGCCAAUUUUGUGGAUUAAUAACUUCUAACCAACUUUUAAAAAUACUUGAAUUGGCUUUGGGGAAACGAUGUCUUUGGCUUACUCAGUCCAUACAUCCAGGUACACAACAAUUGUCCAUUUUUAUCAUUUUUAAAAGGUAUAAAUUAGCUUAUAUAUCACUAAUACCUACAACGUCCACUAAUAAUACAACAUUUUUUAACAGAAAAGAACGAACUCAACCUCUCAACUUCUGAACUUUAUUGUCACUGCUGCCAUGCUUGAAUCGCACCUAGCGGGCCUAGCGGCUGAAAAAUGAACUAACUGCGAAUGUAGCGCUACCAAGCGGUUGCGAUCCUCACUAAAAACAUCAAUAGUGGUGGGGGUUAAGAGGUGUCCCAUCUAUUCUCUGUAAUCUGUGUCAACAGACUGAGGUUUGAAACGCAUGUGGGAUGUUUAGCACUUUAGCAUCGAACAACGAUGCCAAGUUGAAAUUAUGUAAGAUGAAAAAAUAAUGGCAAUUGUUCAAAGGUGCCCCGUUGAAUGGUACCCCCUUCUACCCUACAUGUGGAUGGAUUGUGCAGUUCACACGGCAGAUAUUUCGACAAACAUUCGCUCUCUCGAUUGCGAUUAUUCAGUGGUGUGCCCCAGCAGUGAAAUGGAUUCCACCGGUUUUGACACCGAAAUGUUCAUUGAGGCUGUGAAGAAUCGGCCUAUAAUUUGAAAUCUGUCAUUGCCAGAGUACUUCGACAAGAUGAAAAAAAAAAGAGCGUGGAUGGAAGUUUGCUCACUGAUGUUCAACGGGUUUGAAGAAAAAUCAGAGAAGGAACAAAAUGAUAUAGGUUCGAAACUCAUGAAGAAAUGGAAGGGAAUGCGGGAUACUUUCAUGAAAAGUUGUAAGAAAAAACUGUAUCUGGACAAGGAGCUAACAGAAGCAGAUGUUAUAUAUAUGGAUGACAAAUGGAAUUUUUAAUCCAAACAAAUAUUCCAUCUGCAAAGCCGGCCACAGACACAGAGACAAGACGGCGUGCAACAUGCAAAGAAUGACAAGCAUCAACUUUCGCACUUAUUGCCCACACACAUGAGAGAAAAGAAGGCGGAAUAAUGCGCAAAGAACACUUAUAAUAGUAGUAGUGCGAGAAUUCGUCAGUUCGAAAAUGUCAUCAGCAGGAGAUGAGGAAUACUGCCUGAUGGCAGUGGCGUACGCUUGUUUAGUCAAAAAGAAGCAAUUAAAGUCGCUUCGAGAGAGGAAGCCAAGGAGUAAAUGGGUUAAAGAGUGGCUUUUGAAGAGAAACCAAUUUUCCCAUAUCAAUCUUCUACAAGAAUUGCGUUUGGAAGUUGAAGACUGGCGAAAUUAUCUUAGAAUGGAUGAAGAUUGCUAUUUGAAUUUAUUAGCGUUAGUAACACCAUUGAUUGGGAAAAAAAUACACCAAUGAGAUCGGCAAUAUCUGUGCAUGAACGAUUGACUGCUACACUUCGGUUUUUAGCAACCGGUAGAAAUCACGAAGAUUUGAAGUUUUCAACAAUAAUUUCUCCUCAGUCAUUGGGUCAAAUAAUUCCAGAAUGUUGCAGUGCUAUUUAUGAAGUAUUACGUCGUGAGUACAUGAAGUUUCCAUCAACAGAGAGUGAGUUGCUUCAUAUUGCUGAAGAAUUCGAAAAAACCAGCAAUUUUCCAAAUUUAUAAGGAGCAGUCGAUGGAAAACAUAUUCGUAUAAUUCCACCUUCUGGAAGUGGGUCCUAUUUUUUUAACUAUAAAGGAGAACAUAGUUAAGUUCUCAUGGCUAUAGUUGAUGCAAAUUAUGAGUUUAUCAUGUGUGAUUUUGGAGUGAAUGGUAGAAUAUCAGAUGGAGGAGUUAUAGAAUACACGAAAUUUUAUGACAAACUGAAGAAUGGAAAGUUGUCAUUGCCACCUCCAAGAAUUGUAAAAAAUAGUGACCAGCGAUUACCAUUUGUAUUUGUGGGUGAUGAAGCAUUUGCUUUACGUCCAAACUUCGUGAAACCAUUCAAUCAGAAGGAAUUAAACCACGAUAAGAAAAUUUUCAAUUACCGACUCUCUCGAGCCAGAUGUAGGGUGGAGAAUGCAUCUGGAAUAUUAUCAGCGCGAUUCAGAAUAUUCCACACCUCUAUUGGAAUAAACUUGGAAGAUGCAGAAAAAGUUGUAAUGGCAUAUUCUCAAAUAAUUAUUUGAGAAGAAAUCGUGCAACUUCCUAUACGCCAGAUAAUUGUUUUCAUCAAGAAGAUGUUGAUAAUGGGGCAGUUAAGGAAGGCUUACUUUGUACAAUGAAUACACUGCAACGUGGUUUCAAUAGAAAUAACAAUAGUGCAGCAAAAGAAGUGCGAGAAUUAUUCAUAAAUUAUUUCAACAACGAAGGAGCUAUAUCAUGGCAAGAACGAAUGAUAUGGUGAAUAAGAAAUGAGAACAAAAAUGAUUGUAGAUUUGUAGCAAUUAGAUUAGAGAAUAGAAUUAGGGCUAGUAUUAUUUAUGCUGUAUGACAUAAUCAAAUAUGUAGACAUUUUGUAUAAAAACCAAUAUGAAAACCAUCUUUUUGGAUCAUACAUUAAAAAUAUUAAUCUUUUCUUGUCGUAAUCAUUCACCCCUAGAAAUUUUUUUAUGCAUAAUUAGGUACCUAUAUGAUAGACGAGUGAUGGGCCA